Non-coding RNA from Pelobates cultripes (western spadefoot toad), 467 nucleotides. Lineage: Eukaryota; Metazoa; Chordata; Amphibia; Anura; Pelobatidae. The record is from the annotation of a GenBank genome assembly.
CCAUGCAAGGGGACAUCCCACACAGAGGGACACAGUAUAACCAAUCAGUUACAGGAAAACAGUAAAACACACCCAGCACAAAUAUACAAUUCCCUCCCCUAGUUCUGGAGAUAAUCAAGUCUGAUAAAGUAAUAACUUGAUUAUCUCCAGGCAGAAAAAUCAAAAUUUCCCCAAUAUCCAGAACACCCCUUUAUACAUGGGGUAUCCCCACAAAUAAUAUGUCCCCUGAUAGCCCCGAUCUGGGUGACCAACAUAUUCAAAUUUCACCCAGAUCGGUUCAGGGGUUCUCAAAAAGUGUGGAAGUCAUUUGUGACCGGCUAACCGCGAGGUGGCUGCCCAAAACAGUUCCAGGAGUUUGGGUGGUUUUGCCGGUCUUAUUCAGUUAAGUUGCAAAAACUGAAUAAUUCCACGAAUGGAUUCCCCUGGCUCUUAGCAGCGAUUGUUACCCUCAUUUGAAUGCACAAAAG